This 688-nucleotide long non-coding RNA is filed under the name Homo sapiens (human). RNAcentral describes it as "non-protein coding lnc-APOL1-5:1". The record is from RNAcentral. Lineage: Eukaryota; Metazoa; Chordata; Mammalia; Primates; Hominidae.
GACCUACAAAACCCAAGCAUAUAAUAGAGUAAGCUUCAGCCCUUGGCCAUUCACAGGGGCGCUCAUAACUACUGUAACACUUGUUGAAAGGCACUCAUUACAACAUCUGUCUUAGCCAUAUGAUUCCACUCGAACUCAAUUACUCUAUUAACCCUAGGCCUAGUAACUAAUACAUUAACAAUGUAUCAAUCAUAAUGAGACAAUAUCAGAGAAGGCACAUUCCAUGGCCACCACUUGUCAAUUGUCCGAAAGGGCCUUAGAUAUGGAAUAAUUUUAUUUAUCCCAUCAGAAGUAGUUUUCUCUGCUGGAUUCUUCUGAGCAUUCAAGCCUGGUCCCAAUCCCAGAACUCGGAGGCUGCUGACCUCCAACAGGUAUUUACCUCCUUAACCCCUUCGAAGUGCCCCUACUCAACAUAUCCAUUCUCUCAGCUUUGGGAGUAUCAAUUACCUGAGCCCAUCAUAGUUUGAAAGAAGAAAACCAAAAACACAUACUCCAAACCUUAUCCAUUACGAUUGCCCUGGAUAUUUACUUUACACUCUUCCAAGCCUCAGAAUGCUUCCAGGCACCUUUCACCACCUCUCAUGGCAUAUAUGGCUCAACAUUCUCUAUCGCUACAGACUUCCAUGGACUUCACGUCAUCAAUGGCUCAACCUUCCUAACCAUCUGCCUUGUGCAUCAACGAAAAUUU